CCUACGGGAGGCAGCAGUGGGGAAUUUUGGACAAUGGGCGCAAGCCUGAUCCAGCAAUGCCGCGUGAGUGAAGAAGGCCUUCGGGUUGUAAAGCUCUUUUGUCAGGGAAGAAACGGUGGGGGCUAAUAUCUCCUGCUAAUGACGGUACCUGAAGAAUAAGCACCGGCUAACUACGUGCCAGCAGCCGCGGUAAUACGUAGGGUGCAAGCGUUAAUCGGAAUUACUGGGCGUAAAGCGUGCGCAGGCGGUUUUGUAAGUUUGUCGUGAAAUCCCCGGGCUCAACCUGGGAAUGGCGAUGAAGACUGCAAGGCUAGAAUCUGGCAGAGGGGGGUAGAAUUCCACGUGUAGCAGUGAAAUGCGUAGAGAUGUGGAGGAACACCGAUGGCGAAGGCAGCCCCCUGGGUCAAGAUUGACGCUCAUGCACGAAAGCGUGGGGAGCAAACAGGAUUAGAUACCCUGGUAGUCCACGCCCUAAACGAUGUCUACUAGUUGUCGGGUUUUAAUUAACUUGGUAACGCAGCUAACGCGUGAAGUAGACCGCCUGGGGAGUACGGUCGCAAGAUUAAAACUCAAAGGAAUUGACGG
This 585-nucleotide ribosomal RNA is filed under the name uncultured bacterium. RNAcentral describes it as "bacterial SSU rRNA". It matches the Rfam family "Bacterial small subunit ribosomal RNA", at positions 338 to 916 of the family's 1533-position model. The record is from RNAcentral.